CCGCGCGUAGCUCAGUGGACGGAGCAGGGAGCUUCUACCUCCCGUGGCGCAGGUUCGAAUCCUGCCGCGCGCACCA
RNAcentral lists this transfer RNA (76 nucleotides) under Paracoccus sp. (in: a-proteobacteria). RNAcentral describes it as "Paracoccus sp. tRNA-Arg". It matches the Rfam family "tRNA". From Rfam's summary of the family: Transfer RNA (tRNA) molecules are approximately 80 nucleotides in length. Lineage: Bacteria; Pseudomonadati; Pseudomonadota; Alphaproteobacteria; Rhodobacterales; Paracoccaceae. RNAcentral also lists the same sequence under 1 other name. The record is from RNAcentral.